GACGAACGCUGGCGGCGUGCUUAACACAUGCAAGUCGAACGAGGCUCCUUCUUCGGUUGGGGUUCUAGUGGCGAACGGGUGAGUAACACGUGGGCAACCUGCCCCUGGCUCUGGGAUAACUCCAAGAAAUUGGGGCGUAAUACCGGAUAUGACCGCUGAUCGCAUGGUCUGGUGGUGGAAAGAUUUAUCGGCUGGGGAUGGGCCCGCGGCCUAUCAGCUUGUUGGUGGGGUAGUGGCCCACCAAGGCGACGACGGGUAGCCGGCCUGAGAGGGUGACCGGCCACACUGGGACUGAGACACGGCCCAGACUCCUACGGGAGGCAGCAGUGGGGAAUAUUGCGCAAUGGGCGAAAGCCUGACGCAGCGACGCCGCGUGGGGAUGACGGCC
This 388-nucleotide ribosomal RNA is filed under the name uncultured bacterium. RNAcentral describes it as "bacterial SSU rRNA". It matches the Rfam family "Bacterial small subunit ribosomal RNA", at positions 28 to 416 of the family's 1533-position model. The record is from RNAcentral.